This 492-nucleotide ribosomal RNA is filed under the name uncultured bacterium. RNAcentral describes it as "partial 16S ribosomal RNA". It matches the Rfam family "Bacterial small subunit ribosomal RNA", at positions 29 to 507 of the family's 1533-position model. The record is from RNAcentral.
AGUGAACGCUGGCGGUAGGCCUAACACAUGCAAGUCGAACGGCAGCACAGUAAGAGCUUGCUCUUACGGGUGGCGAGUGGCGGACGGGUGAGGAAUACAUCGGAAUCUACUUUUUCGUGGGGGAUAACGUAGGGAAAUUUACGCUAAUACCGCAUACGACCUACGGGUGGAAGCAGGGGAUCUUCGGACCUUGCGCGAUUGAAUGAGCCGAUGUCGGAUUAGCUAGUUGGCGGGGUAAAGGCCCACCAAGGCGACGAUCCGUAGCUGGUCUGAGAGGAUGAUCAGCCACACUGGAACUGAGACACGGUCCAGACUCCUACGGGAGGCAGCAGUGGGGAAUAUUGGACAAUGGGCGCAAGCCUGAUCCAGCCAUACCGCGUGGGUGAAGAAGGCCUUCGGGUUGUAAAGCCCUUUUGUUGGGAAAGAAAAGCAGCAGGUUAAUACCCCGCUGUUCUGACGGUACCCAAAGAAUAAGCACCGGCUAACUUCGUG